Molecule: small nuclear RNA, 107 nt
Organism: Bison bison bison
Lineage: Eukaryota; Metazoa; Chordata; Mammalia; Artiodactyla; Bovidae
Source: Ensembl
GUGCUCGCUUCGGCAGCACAUAUACUAAAAUUGGAACCAUACAGAGAAGAUUAGCAUGGCCCCUGUGCAAGGAUGACACACAAAUUCGUGAAGCGUUCCAUAUUUUU